Cryomyces minteri is the source of this 94-nucleotide non-coding RNA. The record is from the annotation of a GenBank genome assembly. NCBI's taxonomy places the organism in Eukaryota, Fungi, Ascomycota, Dothideomycetes.
GGCGUGCUAGCAAAGUGGUUAAUGCGUUUGACUCGAAUUCAUUUUCCGAUAUCAAAUCCCUUCGGGGGCGUAGGUUCGAAUCCUGCGCACGUCG